UACGGGGGGGGCGAGCGUUGUUCGGAAUUACUGGGCGUAAAGGGUGCGUAGGCGGUCGCGCAGGUCGGGUGUGAAAUCCCAGGGCUCAACCCUGGAACUGCAUUCGAUACUGCGUGGCUCGGGUACUGGAGAGGAGACUGGAAUUUACGGUGUAGCAGUGAAAUGCGUAGAUAUCGUAAGGAAGACCAGUGGCGAAGGCGAGUCUCUGGACAGUUACCGACGCUGAGGCACGAAGGCCAGGGGAGCAAACGGG
RNAcentral lists this ribosomal RNA (253 nucleotides) under uncultured bacterium. RNAcentral describes it as "partial 16S ribosomal RNA". It matches the Rfam family "Bacterial small subunit ribosomal RNA", at positions 524 to 776 of the family's 1533-position model. The record is from RNAcentral.